RNAcentral lists this ribosomal RNA (432 nucleotides) under uncultured bacterium. RNAcentral describes it as "partial 16S ribosomal RNA". It matches the Rfam family "Bacterial small subunit ribosomal RNA", at positions 29 to 507 of the family's 1533-position model. The record is from RNAcentral.
ACGAACGCUGGCGGCAGGCCUAACACAUGCAAGUCGAGCGAGGACUUCGGUUCUAGCGGCGGACGGGUGAGUAACGCGUGGGAAUGUGCCCUUCUCUACGGAAUAGCCCUGGGAAACUGGGAGUAAUACCGUAUACGCCCUAUUGGGGAAAGAUUUAUCGGAGAAGGAUCAGCCCGCGUUGGAUUAGGUAGUUGGAGGGGUAAUGGCCUACCAAGCCGACGAUCCAUAGCUGGUUUGAGAGGAUGAUCAGCCACACUGGGACUGAGACACGGCCCAGACUCCUACGGGAGGCAGCAGUGGGGAAUCUUAGACAAUGGGGGCAACCCUGAUCUAGCCAUGCCGCGUGAGUGAUGAAGGCCUUAGGGUUGUAAAGCUCUUUCAGCUGGGAAGAUAAUGACGGUACCAGCAGAAGAAGCCCCGGCUAACUCCGUG